GACGAACGCUGGCGGCGUGCCUAAUGCAUGCAAGUCGAGCGGGCUACAGUCUUCGGAUUGUAGCUUAGCGGCGAACGGGUGAGUAACACGUAGGUAAUCUACCCUUCAGAGGAGGACAACCUCAGGAAACUGAGGCUAAACCUUCAUACGUUCACUGGUAGGGAUACUGGUGAAGAAAGAGUUACCUUAGUGGUAGCUGCUGAAGGAUGAGCCUGCGGCCCAUCAGGUAGUUGGUGAGGUAACGGCUCACCAAGCCGAAGACGGGUAACCGGUCUGAGAGGAUGUCCGGUCACACUGGGACUGAGACACGGCCCAGACUCCUACGGGAGGCAGCAGCAGGGAAUCUUGGGCAAUGGGCGAAAGCCUGACCCAGCGACGCCGCGUGGAGGAAGAAGUCCUUCGGGGCGUAAACUCCUGGACUGGGGGACGAGGAAGGACGGUACCCCAGUAGAAAGGGACGGCUAACUACGUGCCAGCAGCCGCGGUAAAACGUAGGUCCCGAGCGUUGUUCGGAUUCACUGGGUGUAAAGGGCGCGUAGGUGGUUGUCUGUGUCUCAUGUGAAAACUCAGGGCUCAACUCUGAGAUUGCGUGGGAAACUAGGCAGCUAGAGGACGGUAGAGGGGAGUGGAAUUCCCGGUGUAGCGGUAAAAUGCGUAGAUAUCGGGAGGAACACCGGUGGCGAAGGCGGCUCUCUGGGCCGAUCCUGACGCUGAGGCGCGAAAGCUAGGGGAGCGAACCGGAUUAGAUACCCGGGUAGUCCUAGCCGUAAACGAUGGGUGCUAGGUGUUGGGGGGUAAAGACCCUUCAGUGCCGAAGCCAACGCGAUAAGCAUCCCACCUGGGGAGUACGGCCGCAAGGUUGA
RNAcentral lists this ribosomal RNA (863 nucleotides) under uncultured bacterium. Its description in RNAcentral is "bacterial SSU rRNA". It matches the Rfam family "Bacterial small subunit ribosomal RNA", at positions 28 to 897 of the family's 1533-position model. The record is from RNAcentral.